RNAcentral lists this long non-coding RNA (357 nucleotides) under Phoenix dactylifera (date palm). RNAcentral's name for it is "long non-coding RNA (PDAC_LNC004627)". The record is from RNAcentral. Lineage: Eukaryota; Viridiplantae; Streptophyta; Magnoliopsida; Arecales; Arecaceae.
UUGGUACAUUGAGUCGGGGAUCAAUGUUUACCGGAAAGACUGGCACAUCUUAUGUAUGCUCGAUGCAGAGGAUGAUUGAUCUCACAAUCACUUGUGUGGAGACACUAAUACAAAGAUGUGGGUGCUCAUUAGAGAAAUGAGUUCACUGAAUUGACCUACAAAGAGAAAUCUUAUGAAGUCUUACUUACAUGUCAAAAGAUGAUUCUCUUAGUGGGAGUUCAUCAACUGAUCCUUUGACCUGAGAUCACCAUAGUAUCUUGUGCACAUAAAUUCAUAUUUUGGUUUCUACUCAUUCAUGACAAUAAGUUAUGUACGAGGUCUUCUGGAUAUGGUGGAUUGUGUACGAAGGUUAUGAGU